CACUAAGCGGAGGAAAAGAAACUAACUAGGAUUCCCCUAGUAACGGCGAGUGAACGGGGAUGAAGCCCAGCGCCGAAGCCUCCGUCCCUUCGCGGGGCGGCGUGCAAUGUGGCGUUUGGGGGGAGCCCCUCCGCCGGUUCGCGGGAGCCCAAGUCCCCCUGACCGGGGCCACUGCCCAUGGCGGGUGCUAGGCCCUUGCGGCUCUCCGCGGCCGGAGGAUGGCUCUUCUCCCGGGAGUCGGGUUGCUUGGGAGUGCAGCCCUAAGUGGGUGGUAAACUCCACCUAAGGCUAAAUACGGCCACGAGACCGAUAGCAAACAAGUACCGUGAGGGAAAGUUGCAAAGAACUUUGAAGAGAGAGUUCAAGAGUACGUGAAACCGCUCGGAGGCAAACGGGUGGGACCUCGAAGGUCGAAACGGGGGAUUCAACCCGUCGGUUUACUGGUUGCGGGCCUCUGUCUAUGAAAGGAUCUUUAACGGACCGGAUGGAGGCUGCGGCAACCGCCGUCGGGCGCACUUCCCCCUUAGUAGGACGCUGCGACCGGUUGGGAGAAGCAGUGGCGGCCAUGCGGCGAGGCAGGGCAGGUAUCCAUGCCGGUCGGCGACCCCCGAUAUCCUCGGGGAAUCGCUCCGGUCGGAGUUAUAGCUCGCUUCGUCCCGGCUCCGCUACCCAACCGAGGAGAGCGAAUUCGUUUUUCGAGACCCGCGUCCCGCGCUAAAAUGCGCACGGGCCAUCCGGCAGGAUGGGUUCGUACCCGCUGGCCCGCACUCUGCGGCGGUCAGUGGUGGCGGCCCGCCGUUGGCACGGAUGUUGCUCCCGUAGAGGCGCUCGUGGUCUGCGGCGAGUAGGUCGGUUCCCCACCCGACCCNNNNNNNNNNNNNNNCCAAGGAGUCUAACAUGUGCGCGAGUCGUAGGGUUACGCUCAAAGCCCGAAGGCGCAAUGAAAGUGAAGGUCGGCCUCGAUUGCCGUUUACCUAGGCGGGAUCCGUUCGGGCUUACCGGUCGUUCGCGGCUGAGCCCGGCGGCGCACCGCCGGCCCGUCUCGACCGCAUCGCCGGUGAGGCGGAGCGAGAGCGUACACGUUGGGACCCGAAAGAUGGUGAACUAUGCCCGGGCAGGACGAAGCCAGAGGAAACUCUGGUGGAGGUCCGUAGCGAUUCUGACGUGCAAAUCGAUCGUCGGACCUGGGUAUAGGGGCGAAAGACUAAUCGAACCAUCUAGUAGCUGGUUCCCUCCGAAGUUUCCCUCAGGAUAGCUGGUGCUCGAGGAGGGCAGUCUCAUCCGGUAAAGCGAAUGAUUAGAGGCCUUGGGGCCGAAACGACCUCAACCUAUUCUCAAACUUUCAAUGGGUGAGAAGUCCGGCUUGCUUGACUGAAGCCCGGACGUCGGAUGCGAGCGCCCAGUGGGCCACUUUUGGUAAGCAGAACUGGCGCUGUGGGAUGAACCAAACGCCGGGUUACGGCGCCCGAUGCGGACGCUCAUAAGACCCCAUGAAAGGUGUUGGUUGCUAUAGACAGCAGGACGGUGGCCAUGGAAGUCGGAA
RNAcentral lists this ribosomal RNA (1543 nucleotides) under Craterostigmus crabilli. Its description in RNAcentral is "eukaryotic LSU rRNA". It matches the Rfam family "Eukaryotic large subunit ribosomal RNA", at positions 44 to 1266 of the family's 3401-position model. Lineage: Eukaryota; Metazoa; Arthropoda; Chilopoda; Craterostigmomorpha; Craterostigmidae. The record is from RNAcentral.